Molecule: ribosomal RNA, 468 nt
Filed under: uncultured bacterium
Lineage: Bacteria
Description: partial 16S ribosomal RNA
Rfam family: Bacterial small subunit ribosomal RNA
Source: RNAcentral
GACGAACGCUGGCGGCGUGCUUAACACAUGCAAGUCGAACGGAAAGGCCCUGCUUUUGUGGGGUGCUCGAGUGGCGAACGGGUGAGUAACACGUGAGUAACCUGCCCUUGACUUUGGGAUAACUUCAGGAAACUGGGGCUAAUACCGGAUAGGAGCUCCUGCUGCAUGGUGGGGGUUGGAAAGUUUCGGCGGUUAGGGAUGGACUCGCGGCUUAUCAGCUUGUUGGUGGGGUAGUGGCUUACCAAGGCUUUGACGGGUAGCCGGCCUGAGAGGGUGACCGGCCACAUUGGGACUGAGAUACGGCCCAGACUCCUACGGGAGGCAGCAGUGGGGAAUAUUGGACAAUGGGCGGAAGCCUGAUGCAGCAACGCCGCGUGCGGGAUGACGGCCUUCGGGUUGUAAACCGCUUUCGCCUGUGACGAAGCGUGAGUGACGGUAAUGGGUAAAGAAGCACCGGCUAACUACGUG